This 519-nucleotide ribosomal RNA is filed under the name uncultured bacterium. Its description in RNAcentral is "bacterial SSU rRNA". It matches the Rfam family "Bacterial small subunit ribosomal RNA", at positions 8 to 518 of the family's 1533-position model. The record is from RNAcentral.
AGGGUUCGAUUCUGGCUCAGGAUGAACGCUAGCGACAGGCCUAACACAUGCAAGUCGAGGGGCAGCGGCCGGUAGCAAUACCGGGCCGGCGACCGGCGAAUGGGUGAGUAACGCGUAUGCAACCUUUCCGCGAGACGGGUAUAGCCUUCCGAAAGGGAGAUUAACCCCCGGUAGUCCUGGUUUCCCGCAUGAGGGACCAGGUAAAUAUUUAUAGCUUGCGGGUGGGCAUGCGUCCCAUUAGGCAGUUGGCGGGGUAACGGCCCACCAAACCGGCGAUGGGUAGGGGUUCUGAGAGGAAAAUCCCCCACAUUGGAACUGAGACACGGUCCAAACUCCUACGGGAGGCAGCAGUGAGGAAUAUUGGUCAAUGGGCGAAAGCCUGAAACCCAGCCAAGUCGCGUGCGGGACGAAGGCCCUACGGGUCGUAAACCGCUUUUGUACGGGAAUAAAGUCAGGGACGCGUCCCUGUUUGUAGGUACCGUAAGAAUAAGGAUCGGCUAACUCCGUGCCAGCCGCGGC